UGGCAUUUGAAUGUAUUCCAGCUCUGAAAGCACGAUUUAGAGAAGGUGUAGAAGGUUGUAUUAGUAAGUGUCCGAGGAUGUGUAAAAAGCGGUUCCAAAGUAACAGCAUGAAGGGUUAUCCUCUUGAGGAUUUGUACGACAUACUUGGAGAAAUUAAGGUUAUUGAAAGUGUUCUUGUUCCUACUGUUGAUGAGGAACCUCUCAUGGCACGCAUAAUGGAUGGGGAGCCAGACUAUGAAAAUGAAGAAGGCGUGAGUAAUUUGUGGAGCACGUGGUUGACUGUUAAGGAGAAGCCUAUCUUUUGGCAAGAACUCUAUGAGUUAGAUGUGGCUGCAAGGGAGUUUCCUCAGAAGAAAGACAAAAGGAAAGUGCAUGAAGAAACAUCCUCCUCUAAUACAAGUUUGGAGGACGUUUUGAAAGGGUUUGAAGAGAGGUUGAUGACAUGUUUGAGUGAAGUGAAUGGGAAGGUGGAAAAAAUGAACAAGAGGCUUGGGAAGAUUGAACGUUGCCAAGUUGUUUUAAAAAAGAGGUGUAAAAGGAUGAAGGCAAUGGAGAAGAAGCUUGAGAAGAUUUAAGAUUGCCAAUAUUAUUUAAAAAAGAAGGCCAAGAAGGUGGAGACAUUGGACGGGAGGAUUGAUGGCAUUGAGAAAGAAAUGAAGGAAAUGAAAGAGAAGGAGGAGGAUAAGGAGAACAAUGACGGUUUCGACUACAAAUGCAUGAAUUAUGACUGGGGUGGGCAGCGGAAUGACAGCAAUGGAGCGGACGCAACAACCAAAGAACCUGAAGAUGCAUAUAUGGUUGAAAAUACAGAGGUGGUAAAAGAGAAAGAGAGUGAAGAAGAGGCUCAGAAGGACGAUAGAGGUUCUGAGGAAGAGACAGAACCUGAACCUGAAGCAUAAGCUGAAGAAGACAAAGAAAAAUAGGAUGAGGAAGAGAGUGAAGAAGAGGCUCAGAAGGACGAUACAGGUUCUGAGGAAGAGGUUGAGAAUGAAAAAACACCUGAGAAAGAACCUGAUGAGGUUCAAGAUUAGGUUGAGAUGAAUGAAGCCAAUGAGAUUGAAGAAGAGGUUGAAACAGAGGGUCGGGUUGAAGUUGAAACCGAGAAAACUCCUACACCACCAUGUGGUAGGACUAAGACAGCAGCCGCGAGGAGACAAAUCUUAACAACACCAGAGAAGUUGUUCGGAAAGGCUGAAAAAAUGGUGGAGGAAGAGGUGAAAGAACCUGAGGAAGAGGGUGAAAAAAAGGUGGAGGAAGAGGUGAAAGAACCUGAUGAAGAGGGUGAAAACAUGGUGGAGGAAGAGGUGGAAGAACCUGAGGAAGAGGGUGAAAAAAUGGUGGAGGAAGAUGUGGAAGAACCUGAGAAAGAGGGUGAAAAAAUGGUGGAGGAAGAGCUGGAAGAACCUGAGGAAGAGGUGGAAGAACCCAAGAAAAAGACUGAAAAAUAUACUGAGGAAGAAAAGCAAGAGUGGUACAUGGUUGUCUACGAGGGCAGUACUUGUGAAACGAAGGAAGCUGACAAGGGAGCAGCCAAGCUUCUGGAACUGGGGUCAAGCAUAGGCCAAAACAAAUGGUGUUGAGGAAGCACGCUACUAAGCAGGCUUCUAAGCCGAGGGGUAGACCGAGAAAGGAUACUGAACCAAAGAAGUUCACAACGCCAGAACAGACAAAAAGGAUACGUUCACGUUCACAGUGGGUUUCCAAUCCUUUUACUGAAGCUAACACUGAUGAGAUUGAAGGGCGCAAGAAAAAGCCUAGAACAAAGGCGUAGAAGACAAGAAGCUUAAAAUAUUUUGGGUGUUUAGUAUUUAUCUCGGAUUUGUUGUGAACUUAUGUAAGAAGUUAUGUUUUGUUGCUUGCUGGUCUGUAAAACUUGAAUGCUAUCUCUUAUGUAGGAUGCUCUGUGUUGUGUGAUUGUCUUGCAGCAGGUUUGGCCCAAUUGAAGACAAAAUGAUCUAAGUCUUAAAGAAAACACAUUUGUACUACUAGAUUUAUUAUGUAUUACUAAGACAAAAAAAAUUUGUCAACACUAAAAAAAAAAUAUAACAUGAUAUAUAAUAUUAAAUGGCACAUGACUAAAACGUGUAAAACGUGUAAAAUAUAAGAAAAAAAAAAUGGCACAUGUCUAAAACAUUUAAAAUAUAAUAUUAAACAAAACAUGUUUGAAUACUCUUUGUAGUACUCAAGGAAGUAGUAAUAUUUCAUUCUUCAUAGUAAUAUUUUUGUACAUUAGAACAUUUUUUAGUAAUACAACCUGAAGAAAUUAAAUUUAUUAGUAAUACAAAUGUAUUUAGACAAUUUUAGAUUAUAUAUAACACAUUGGCAAAAAAAAUUUAAAUAAAAUACGUAUUUUCUGAAUUUCAUCUCAUUAUGGCCUUCACAUCAAGACAUUAGUAUAGAAGUAGAAGGAUGUUUUCUAUAGAAAUGAGAGGUUUUCAACUAAUUUCAGAAUUAAGAGUAUUCUAUGUCUAAUUUGGCAAAUAAACACAAAUAUGACCAUAUAAUCUCGUAAUAUAUGAGAUAUUUUUUCUAAAAAUAAAUAAUAAGACGAAAACAAAAGUUCUUUGAAACAUGCAUACUACAUAGUAAUUCAAAGUAGUUCAAGGUAAUCCAAAAUAGUACCUAGUAGUCUAUAUUACACAUAGUAGUACCAGGUAGUCCAUAUUACACAUCGUAGUUCACAGUAGUACCGAGUAGUGCAGUGUUACCUAGUACAAGAGUUCCAUGUUACUCAGUGGGGGAAGAAGUACUUCCACAUUCAAAAUACUCAUAAAAACGUCCGCCUCUCCUUCCCCUGCCCCUGCCUCUUCCCCUUCCGCGUCCUCUUCUUCGUCCACGAGAUUCUCCGGCUGAUGGAAACCUUUGCUUUUGAGUGGGUCAUUUCUUUUUUCGUAUACCGGGGGAAGAACUUUAAGUGCUCGAAUCUCAUCAGGUAUGACCCAUUCAGACAUAUGAGGAAAUGGAUAAAUCGUCCUACAGUAUGCCAAUGCCCACAACUCCACCAAAUAGUAUUUUGAACAAAACUCUUGUAGAUGAAGAUCUCUUCCUACGCUCAAGAACUUGGCAGCAGCAGCAACAUGAACACAUGGGAUUUUGUCUAGAUCAAAACAUCUGCAGGUGCACAUUUUUCUUGCCAAAUCAACCGUAUAAAUCUUUCCGUCACUACCAUUGACAUUGUACUCAAGGUGGAAGUUGUUUAUCUCAACAACAUCUAAACACCUCGCUUCCAAACAUCUUUUUGACAACUCCUUUUCCACUGUUGGCACAAGCUUCUUUGUGACUGGUAUUUCAGCUGCCUUCUUCCUAUGUUUGUUAAACCAGUCAGUCAUUUUCUUGAUGAUAACAUCAAUCAUCGGUAGCAUGAAGAAUUUCCUCGCUUUCCGAAGAACACCAUUAAUGGAUUCUGCUGCAUUAGUUGUGUUAACAUUGUAUAUGUCUCCUUCAAAGUAACAUCUUGCCCAUUUUCUCACUUCAACACUUUUCUCCAGAUACGCCGCAGCAGAAGGAUACCUUCUGGAAAAGGCAUCGUAGAGAUCAUCGAACUCAGCCACUGUAUAAGCAUGUGCACACUCUGUAAACUUGUUUGCGCAAGCGUCUCUGUUGUUGAAAACAUGUCCUUUGACAUUUUGAGACAAAUGCCAGAUACAAUACCCAUGUGCAGCCAUUGGGAACACCUCACGUAUUGACUUGAUCAAGCUUGCAUUUCUAUCCGAAAGAAACACCAAUUCGCCUUCAUCUGAUAUCACUGACCUCAACUUACUCAUAAACCACAUCCAGCUUUCAUCUUUCUCACCAUCAACUACACCAAAUGCGAUAGGGUAGUGGUGACGAUCAGGAUCUUGAGCCGUCGCAACAAGCAGAACUCCACCAUAAACAUGCUUAAGAUGUGUUCCAUCCGCAAUGAUAACUUUCCUCAUCGCUGCGAAUCCUUCUAUGGAAGCUCCAAGUGCGAAAAAUAGAUACUUAAAUCUUUUUGCCGCAUCCACUUCAACAUAACUUACUGAGUCAGGAUUCUUCAACUUAAGCAUGUACAUGUAGGAGUGUAUCAUAGAAAAACUCUCUUCCGGAGUACCUCAGACUUCAUUAGCAGCCAUCCUUUUUCCUCUCCAUGCUGUGGCAUACGACACAUCAACACCAACCUUGUGGGUAACCAUACUGAUCAGAUCAGCUGGUGUUGGUGUGUCAUAUCUACCGGGAUAUUCUUCACUCAAAACAGAUCCGACAACAUGUGGUGUGCCUCUCCUUCUAUUUCUAAGGGUACUUAUAGUUACUACUGAGAAUGUAUGAGACUUGUUGUAAGUUCUAACCGUCCAAAGAUCUGAAUUCUUAAGCUUUACUACACGUAAAUACCACUUGCAACCUUCUUUGGCUCCUCGACAUUUUGCCACAAAUCUCACAGUAUCGGACUUCAAUGUUUCAUACUCAAAACCAUUCUUAUGUGCACCCCUCUGAACUAGAACUUGCAUGGCUACCUUAGUUCUGAAUUCUUGACCCUUAACCAAAUCGAGACCAUCAUCCCAUUCUUCUUCUACUGCUGUCGUGGCUUCAACUACUGCUCUUGCAGCUUCAACUCCUCCUCUUGCAGCAGCAACUCCUGCUCUUGCAGCUUCAACUUCCGCUCCUCCAGCUUCUUCUUCCACUCUUACUUAUGUUCCUUCAUACCCAUGCUCUAAAUUCUCAUGCAUCUCAAUGUCUUCAUGUUGUUCGGGUGUGUAAAACGCGACCACACCAUCCAUCUCAUGAUCCUGAUCAGUUCCAUCUUGCUCAGUGUCAUCUUCCUCGGUCCCAUCAGAAAGACCAACAUAGCUAUCAUCAGUUUCAUCAUCAUCUUCAUCAGAAAGACCAACAUAGCUAUCAUCAGUCUCAUCAUCAUCUCCGAAAAGUGACAUACCACCAUAUGUAUCAUCCAUGUCGCUGCUGAUCUCCACAUGUAAAACACUUCUACAUUUAUCAUGAUUUACUUGCAUGAGAUAACCCAAAACGUCUUCAUCACACCAAAUAUAUGAUGGCUUGUUCGAAUACAAUACCAUUGGAAAGUAACUAAUCUUCACCAUCCCAUCUCCAUUUACCUUAAUCUUUCUGCAUAUACUUUCAACCAAUUUAGAAUACGUAAUCUCUUCCACAGUUGUCUUCAUCACUAGAGUUUGAAUUUCAUCUUCUCCCGAGAUCCAUCUUCUCUCACCCCCAUCUUUGAUGUAACUUCCUCCGUAAUCAAAACAUAUGAUUGUAAUAGGAGAGGCCCUAGAUUUCCUGAAACAAAAAUUAUGAUGAGUUAACCGUUUAAAGAAUCUAAGUUGUCCAAGAUCUUUGGUACAUACUCUAUUUAGUAAUACAAGUAAUACAAGUUAUACAGAUUGUAGCUUAGUAGUACUAGUAAUUCCAGUAUUUUCUAUAAAUUUUCAUUUUUGUUGAUUUAACCCUUUUAACUAACCAAGGGGGUAUUAUACAACCCACAAUAUCGUCUACCAAUAUUGUAAUGUAUUAUUUUGGUUUAAAACAGUGAAAAAUUAGCAUAAAUAUACAAAAUAGUCCUGAAAAAAACAUCAUUUUCAUACCAAUAUACCUAAAACUUUAAUCUUUCAUCGGUUUAAGUAUGUUUAAUCAACAAAUAGCAUGUUACAAAACCCACAUUAUCGUCUAACACCAUUUUUAUGUUUUUUCCUAUCAAACUCGUGUUAAAAGAAUCGUGUUAAAAGAAGAGAACCUUCUUCAAAUUUUAUUUUCAUUUUUCUUUGAAAACUUUUACGAUUUUUACAACUAAGUUUUUAUUUUUUUUCGUUACCCAUAACACAUAGAACAUAAGUAGUAUAUUAGUAUGAAAAUUUCAUGAAAAAAUCGUACCAAUUUUCGUCAAAAUAACCUUCAAAAAACGCCAAUGGAGCUUGAAGGGGAAGAAGAAUUCGCUGGUGGUUGGAAAAAAGGGAGCAGGAUCUGAAAAAAGGGAACAGAUAGACACCUGUGGGAAGGAGAGAGGUAGAUGAAAUAUGGGAUCGCUUGUUAGGUGUCCAUUAAUUAUGGACUUUAUGUGGGAGGAUGAGGGGUCCGCUUUCUAUUUUUAAAAUUAGAAAGUAAGGUGUGGGAUCCGUGUUUUAUUUUUAAAAUUAGAAAGUAAGGUGUAGGGUCAGCAAGAAAUAGAUAAUAAUAUAAUAGUUGAAGGUAAUAAAGAGAGGGAAAAUAUGAUAAGAUAGUUAGAAAAGAAAUGGGGUAUUGAGAAUACAAAAUUUCCAACUGGGUCAAUAUAGAUUACUUUCCUCUUCAGACACACAGGAUCAGGGGCUCUAUUCAAAAAAAAACUUAUUUUAACAAAAAUCUCAUUUAAAUUAUUAAUUAACUUAUUAAUUAACUUUUUUUAAUUUCUUAUUAUAUUUAUUCAUCAAAAUCUAUUUAUAUAAAAUUUAUACCUAAUGUACUUUUUAUCUUCUUGUUUUUGUUUUAUCUUUUUCAUUUUAUAUAGAGAAAUAUCUUAAGAUAGCAAUAAAAAAAUAUCAUUGUCACAAAUAUAGAUUUUAAGGAUCAAAAUGACCACACUAUUUCAUUAAAUAGGAAAAUAUACACUUAUAUUCUUUGGAUUAAGUUUUAAAAUUUUAUAAAAUUAAAAAUAAAUA
Molecule: long non-coding RNA, 6605 nt
Organism: Brassica rapa (field mustard)
Lineage: Eukaryota; Viridiplantae; Streptophyta; Magnoliopsida; Brassicales; Brassicaceae
Source: RefSeq, a predicted model, not a curated record